RNAcentral lists this ribosomal RNA (325 nucleotides) under uncultured eukaryote. RNAcentral's name for it is "partial 18S ribosomal RNA". It matches the Rfam family "Eukaryotic small subunit ribosomal RNA", at positions 1470 to 1796 of the family's 1831-position model. The record is from RNAcentral.
CCCUUAGAUGUUCUGGGCCGCACGCGCGCUACACUGAUGCAUUCAACGAGCCUAUCCUUGACCGACAGGUCCGGGUAAUCUUUGAAUCUGCAUCGUGACGGGGAUAGAUUAUUGCAAUUAUUAAUCUUCAACGAGGAAUGCCUAGUAGGCGCAAGUCAUCAGCUUGCGUCGAUUACGUCCCUGCCCUUUGUACACACCGCCCGUCGCUCCUACCGAUUGAAUGGUCCGGUGAAAUCUUCGGAUUGCUGACCAAGAUCCAGCAAUGGAGCUUGGUUGCGAGAAGUUGAUUAAACCUUAUUAUUUAGAGGAAGGAGAAGUCGUAACA